Molecule: ribosomal RNA, 497 nt
Filed under: uncultured bacterium
Lineage: Bacteria
Description: partial 16S ribosomal RNA
Rfam family: Bacterial small subunit ribosomal RNA
Source: RNAcentral
GAUGAACGCUGGCGGCGUGCCUAAUACAUGCAAGUCGAGCGAACAGACGAGGAGCUUGCUCCUCUGACGUUAGCGGCGGACGGGUGAGUAACACGUGGAUAACCUACCUAUAAGACUGGGAUAACUUCGGGAAACCGGAGCUAAUACCGGAUAAUAUAUUGAACCGCAUGGUUCAAUAGUGAAAGACGGUUUUGCUGUCACUUAUAGAUGGAUCCGCGCCGCAUUAGCUAGUUGGUAAGGUAACGGCUUACCAAGGCAACGAUGCGUAGCCGACCUGAGAGGGUGAUCGGCCACACUGGAACUGAGACACGGUCCAGACUCCUACGGGAGGCAGCAGUAGGGAAUAUUCCGCAAUGGGCGAAAGCCUGACGGAGCAACGCCGCGUGAGUGAUGAAGGUCUUCGGAUCGUAAAACUCUGUUAUUAGGGAAGAACAGAUGUGUAAGUAACUAUGCACGUCUUGACGGUACCUAAUCAGAAAGCCACGGCUAACUACGUG